AACCUUGCGCAGUGGCAAUAUCGUAACCAAUGAAGGCCUCCUGAGGUGCGAUUAUUGCUAGUUGAAAACUUUUACCAACAACCAAAAUAUUAAGAUGGUCCCUGGUAAUAAAAAAGGUUUGGGAC
RNAcentral lists this small nuclear RNA (125 nucleotides) under Rhodnius prolixus. RNAcentral's name for it is "U4 spliceosomal RNA". It matches the Rfam family "U4 spliceosomal RNA". Rfam says of the family: U4 small nuclear RNA (U4 snRNA) is a component of the major U2-dependent spliceosome. The structure of U4 snRNA from yeast and human has been reported. Lineage: Eukaryota; Metazoa; Arthropoda; Insecta; Hemiptera; Reduviidae. The record is from Rfam by way of RNAcentral.